AGGCUGUGCUGCCAUUCAGAGAGACCUGGACAGGCUGGAGAGCUGGACACUUGCCCGGAUCCCUGAGCGCCCAUCCUGUGCUGCUAACCCACAUACGGUGAAUGCACUGCCCAGAUCUGCCCACGCACGCAGUAAUUGGGGCCCUCCAAGCACAGACGUGUAGCUGGGGGGGCUCCGUGGGCAUCUCCAGGUGGGGAUCUCGCUGUGAUGUGGGGCAGGGAUGGACGGGCUGUGUGCUGUGCUGGGCAAGGCGUCCUGAGCUGUGGGUGGCACCGAGCCCCUCAGCAGCACUGCAGGAUGGCCAGGAGAGCGGCCAGCCCCUGGUGGGGGAAAGGAGGAUGUGUGAUGGAGGCAGAGGGCUGCAUUCCUUACCUGUGAAAUAACCCCUUGAAAUCAAAUGCUCGGGGAAUUCCGAGGUCUCUGCAGCAACAUUUCGGCGGUGACAGUGUGAGGAUUUGAGCGGGGCAGGCUCUGCAAGGGGAGAUUGUUAUCUGCUAAUAGACACAGAGAGCAGAUGGAGAAAUAGACCCACUUUUUACACA
Molecule: non-coding RNA, 542 nt
Organism: Coturnix japonica (Japanese quail)
Lineage: Eukaryota; Metazoa; Chordata; Aves; Galliformes; Phasianidae
Source: RefSeq, a predicted model, not a curated record